CGGCGGGUGGCGUGGGUUGAGGCGCUGGCGACGCUGGUGGCGCCGUCGGGGACGCCUCGGCCGCCGGUGGGGGCGCAGAGGCCACCUGCGGCGC
RNAcentral lists this transfer RNA (94 nucleotides) under Tepidimonas ignava. RNAcentral describes it as "tRNA-Thr". The record is from RNAcentral. Lineage: Bacteria; Pseudomonadati; Pseudomonadota; Betaproteobacteria; Burkholderiales.